Molecule: ribosomal RNA, 309 nt
Filed under: Anaerotignum lactatifermentans
Lineage: Bacteria; Bacillati; Bacillota; Clostridia; Lachnospirales; Anaerotignaceae
Description: bacterial SSU rRNA
Rfam family: Bacterial small subunit ribosomal RNA
Source: RNAcentral
GUACUGGGGAAUAAUCACUGGAAACGGUGACUAAUACCGCAUGUGGUCCUUGGGAGGCAUCUUCUGAGGAAGAAAGGAUUUAUUCGGUACAGGAUGGGCCCGCAUCUGAGUAGCUAGUUGGUGAGAUAACAGCCCACCAAGGCGACGAUCAGUAGCCGACCUGAGAGGGUGAUCGGCAACAUUGGGACUGAGACACGGCCCAAACUCCUACGGGAGGCAGCAGUGGGGAAUAUUGCACAAGGGGGGAAACCCUGAUGCAGCAACGCCGCGUGAAGGAAGAAGGUUUUCGGAUCGUAAACGUCUAUCAAU